This 172-nucleotide ribosomal RNA is filed under the name uncultured bacterium. RNAcentral's name for it is "partial 16S ribosomal RNA". It matches the Rfam family "Bacterial small subunit ribosomal RNA", at positions 336 to 526 of the family's 1533-position model. The record is from RNAcentral.
CUCCUACGGGAGGCAGCAGUGGGAAUCUUGCACAAUGGGGAAACCUGGAUGCAGCGACGCCGCGUGAGCGAUGAAGCCUUCGGGGUGUAAAGCUACUUUCGGCUAGGGAAGAUAGUGACGGUACCUGCAGAAGCAGCUGCGGCUAACUACGUGCCAGCCGCCGCGGUAAUAC